RNAcentral lists this transfer RNA (66 nucleotides) under Paradelphomyia sp. ZK-2016. Its description in RNAcentral is "tRNA-His". The record is from RNAcentral. Lineage: Eukaryota; Metazoa; Arthropoda; Insecta; Diptera; Limoniidae.
AUCUAAAUAGUUUAAAUUUAAAAUAUUGAUUUGUGAUGUCAAGGAUAUAGGAUAUUAUUUUAGGUU